This 305-nucleotide non-coding RNA is filed under the name uncultured fungus. RNAcentral describes it as "eukaryotic LSU rRNA". The stretch from base 1 to 52 matches the Rfam family "5.8S ribosomal RNA", at positions 103 to 154 of the family's 154-position model. The record is from RNAcentral. Lineage: Eukaryota; Fungi. RNAcentral also lists the same sequence under 1 other name.
AACGCACCUUGCGCUCCUUGGUAUUCCGAGGAGCAUGCCUGUUUGAGUGUCAUUAAAUUCUCAACCUUAUUAGCUUUUGUUGAUAAUGGCUUGGAUGUGGGGGUUACUUUGCUGGUUUCUUUAAUGAGAUCAGCUCCCCUUAAAUGUAUUAGCUGGUUGCCUUGUGCAGACUUGUCUAUUGGUGUGAUAAUUAUCUACGCCGUGGACUUCUGCCAGUAUUUAGCACCGCUUCUAACUGUCUGUUUACUCAGACAAUUAUAUGACAAUUUGACCUCAAAUCAGGUAGGACUACCCGCUGAACUUAA